GGAUGAACGCUAGCGGCAGGCUUAAUACAUGCAAGUCCAACGGUUACAGCAAUGUGACGAGUGGCGCACGGGUGAGUAACGCGUACAUAACAUACCUUUAACUGGCGAAUAGCCUUGGGAAACUGAGAGUAAUACGCCAUAACAUUGUAGCUUGGCAUCAGGCAGCAAUUAAAGUUCCGGCGGUUAGAGAUUGAUGUGCGUUGGAUUAGAUAGUUGGUGAGGUAACGGCUCACCAAGUCAACGAUCCAUAGGGGGCGUGAGAGCGUGGUCCCCCACACGGGUACUGAGACACGGACCCGACUCCUACGGGAGGCAGCAGUAAGGAAUAUUGGUCAAUGGGGGCAACCCUGAACCAGCCAUGCCGCGUGCGGGAUGAAGGCGUUCUGCGUCGUAAACCGCUUUUAGAGGGGAAUAAAUCCCGAUACGUGUAUCGGACUGAAGGUACCCUCGGAAUAAGCACCGGCUAACUCCGUGCCAGCAGCCGCGGUAAUACGGAGGGUGCAAGCGUUAUCCGGAAUCACUGGGUUUAAAGGGUGCGUAG
RNAcentral lists this ribosomal RNA (541 nucleotides) under uncultured bacterium. RNAcentral's name for it is "bacterial SSU rRNA". It matches the Rfam family "Bacterial small subunit ribosomal RNA", at positions 27 to 574 of the family's 1533-position model. The record is from RNAcentral.